RNAcentral lists this ribosomal RNA (286 nucleotides) under uncultured prokaryote. RNAcentral's name for it is "partial 16S ribosomal RNA". It matches the Rfam family "Bacterial small subunit ribosomal RNA", at positions 524 to 812 of the family's 1533-position model. The record is from RNAcentral.
GACGAACUGUUCUAACGUUAUUCGGAAUCACUGGGCUUAAAGGGCGCGUAGGCUGUUUGUUAAGCGGGGUCUGAAAUCCCUCGGCUCAACCGAGGAACUGGGCUUCGAACUGGCAGACUAGAGUGAAGUAGGGGUAAGCGGAACUUGCGGUGGAGCGGUGAAAUGCUUUGAUAUCGCAAGGAACACCGGCGGCGAAGGCGGCUUACUGGGCUUCAACUGACGCUUAAGCGCGAAAGCUAGGGUAGCGAACGGGAUUAGAUACCCGGGUAGUCCCUGAGCGGGCUGG